Molecule: ribosomal RNA, 497 nt
Filed under: uncultured bacterium
Lineage: Bacteria
Description: partial 16S ribosomal RNA
Rfam family: Bacterial small subunit ribosomal RNA
Source: RNAcentral
GACGAACGCUGGCGGCGUGCCUAAUACAUGCAAGUAGAACGCUGAAGAGAGGAGCUUGCUCUUCUUGGAUGAGUUGCGAACGGGUGAGUAACGCGUAGGUAACCUGCCUUGUAGCGGGGGAUAACUAUUGGAAACGAUAGCUAAUACCGCAUAACAAUGGAUGACACAUGUCAUUUAUUUGAAAGGGGCAAUUGCUCCACUACAAGAUGGACCUGCGUUGUAUUAGCUAGUAGGUGAGGUAAUGGCUCACCUAGGCGACGAUACAUAGCCGACCUGAGAGGGUGAUCGGCCACCCUGGGACUGAGACACGGCCCAGACUCCUACGGGAGGCAGCAGUAGGGAAUCUUCGGCAAUGGGGGCAACUCUGACCGAGCAACGCCGCGUGAGUGAAGAAGGUUUUCGGAUCGUAAAGUUCUGUUGUAAGUCAAGAACGGGUGUGAGAGUGGAAAGUUCACACUGUGACGGUAGCUGACCAGAAAGGGACGGCUAACUACGUG